RNAcentral lists this ribosomal RNA (468 nucleotides) under uncultured bacterium. RNAcentral's name for it is "partial 16S ribosomal RNA". It matches the Rfam family "Bacterial small subunit ribosomal RNA", at positions 28 to 523 of the family's 1533-position model. The record is from RNAcentral.
GAUGAACGCUGGCGGCGUGCCUAACACAUGCAAGUCGAGCGAUUCUCUUCGGAGAAGAGCGGCGGACGGGUGAGUAACGCGUGGGUAACCUGCCCUGUACACACGGAUAACAUACCGAAAGGUAUGCUAAUACGGGAUAACGUAAGAAAUUCGCAUGUUCUUCUUAUCAAAGCUCCGGCGGUACAGGAUGGACCCGCGUCUGAUUAGCUAGUUGGUGAGGUAAUGGCUCACCAAGGCAACGAUCAGUAGCCGACCUGAGAGGGUGAUCGGCCACAUUGGAACUGAGACACGGUCCAAACUCCGACGGGAGGCAGCAGUGGGGAAUAUUGCACAAUGGGCGAAAGCCUGAUGCAGCAACGCCGCGGGAGCGAUGAAGGCCUUCGGGUCGUAAAGCUCUGUCCUCAAGGAAGAUAAUGACGGUACUUGAGGAGGAAGCCCCGGCUAACUACGUGCCAGCCGCCGCCGUAA